This 1483-nucleotide ribosomal RNA is filed under the name Escherichia coli. RNAcentral's name for it is "partial 23S ribosomal RNA". It matches the Rfam family "Bacterial large subunit ribosomal RNA", at positions 402 to 1869 of the family's 2925-position model. Lineage: Bacteria; Pseudomonadati; Pseudomonadota; Gammaproteobacteria; Enterobacterales; Enterobacteriaceae. The record is from RNAcentral.
AGCUCGAUGAGUAGGGCGGGACACGUGGUAUCCUGUCUGAAUAUGGGGGGACCAUCCUCCAAGGCUAAAUACUCCUGACUGACCGAUAGUGAACCAGUACCGUGAGGGAAAGGCGAAAAGAACCCCGGCGAGGGGAGUGAAAAAGAACCUGAAACCGUGUACGUACAAGCAGUGGGAGCACAGAGCAAUCUGUGUGACUGCGUACCUUUUGUAUAAUGGGUCAGCGACUUAUAUUCUGUAGCAAGGUUAACCGAAUAGGGGAGCCGAAGGGAAACCGAGUCUUAACUGGGCGUUAAGUUGCAGGGUAUAGACCCGAAACCCGGUGAUCUAGCCAUGGGCAGGUUGAAGGUUGGGUAACACUAACUGGAGGACCGAACCGACUAAUGUUGAAAAAUUAGCGGAUGACUUGUGGCUGGGGGUGAAAGGCCAAUCAAACCGGGAGAUAGCUGGUUCUCCCCGAAAGCUAUUUAGGUAGCGCCUCGUGAAUUCAUCUCCGGGGGUAGAGCACUGUUUCGGCAAGGGGGUCAUCCCGACUUACCAACCCGAUGCAAACUGCGAAUACCGGAGAAUGUUAUCACGGGAGACACACGGCGGGUGCUAACGUCCGUCGUGAAGAGGGAAACAACCCAGACCGCCAGCUAAGGUCCCAAAGUCAUGGUUAAGUGGGAAACGAUGUGGGAAGGCCCAGACAGCCAGGAUGUUGGCUUAGAAGCAGCCAUCAUUUAAAGAAAGCGUAAUAGCUCACUGGUCGAGUCGGCCUGCGCGGAAGAUGUAACGGGGCUAAACCAUGCACCGAAGCUGCGGCAGCGACACUGUGUGUUGUUGGGUAGGGGAGCGUUCUGUAAGCCUGUGAAGGUGUGCUGUGAGGUAUGCUGGAGGUAUCAGAAGUGCGAAUGCUGACAUAAGUAACGAUAAAGCGGGUGAAAAGCCCGCUCGCCGGAAGACCAAGGGUUCCUGUCCAACGUUAAUCGGGGCAGGGUGAGUCGACCCCUAAGGCGAGGCCGAAAGGCGUAGUCGAUGGGAAACAGGUUAAUAUUCCUGUACUUGGUGUUACUGCGAAGGGGGGACGGAGAAGGCUAUGUUGGCCGGGCGACGGUUGUCCCGGUUUAAGCGUGUAGGCUGGUUUUCCAGGCAAAUCCGGAAAAUCAAGGCUGAGGCGUGAUGACGAGGCACUACGGUGCUGAAGCAACAAAUGCCCUGCUUCCAGGAAAAGCCUCUAAGCAUCAGGUAACAUCAAAUCGUACCCCAAACCGACACAGGUGGUCAGGUAGAGAAUACCAAGGCGCUUGAGAGAACUCGGGUGAAGGAACUAGGCAAAAUGGUGCCGUAACUUCGGGAGAAGGCACGCUGAUAUGUAGGUGAAGUCCCUCGCGGAUGGAGCUGAAAUCAGUCGAAGAUACCAGCUGGCUGCAACUGUUUAUUAAAAACACAGCACUGUGCAAACACGAAAGUGGACGUAUACGGUGUGACGCCUGCCCGGUGC